GACGAACGCUGGCGGCGUGCUUAACACAUGCAAGUCGAACGGAAAGGCCCUGCUUUUGUGGGGUGCUCGAGUGGCGAACGGGUGAGUAACACGUGAGUAACCUGCCCUUGACUUUGGGAUAACUUCAGGAAACUGGGGCUAAUACCGGAUAGGAGCUCCUGCUGCAUGGUGGGGGUUGGAAAGUUUCGGCGGUUGGGGAUGGACUCGCGGCUUAUCAGCUUGUUGGUGGGGUAGUGGCUUACCAAGGCUUUGACGGGUAGCCGGCCUGAGAGGGUGACCGGCCAGAUUGGGACAGAGAGACGGCCCAGACUCCUACGGGAGGCAGCAGUGGGGGAUAUUGCACAAUGGGCGGAAGCCUGAUGCAGCAACGCCGCGGGCGGGAUGACGGCCUGCGGGUUGUAAACCGUUUUCGCCUGUGACGAAGCGUGAGUGAAGGUAAUGGGUAAAGAAGCACCGGCUAAAUACGUG
Molecule: ribosomal RNA, 468 nt
Filed under: uncultured bacterium
Lineage: Bacteria
Description: partial 16S ribosomal RNA
Rfam family: Bacterial small subunit ribosomal RNA
Source: RNAcentral